This 451-nucleotide ribosomal RNA is filed under the name uncultured bacterium. RNAcentral's name for it is "partial 16S ribosomal RNA". It matches the Rfam family "Bacterial small subunit ribosomal RNA", at positions 29 to 523 of the family's 1533-position model. The record is from RNAcentral.
AACGGACGCUGGCGGCAGGCUUAACACAUGCAAGUCGAACGGGCAUAGCAAUAUGUCAGUGGCAGACGGGUGAGUAACACGUGGGAAUAUCCCCUUCAGUUCGGAAUAACGUUGGGAAACUAACGCUAAUACCGGAUACGUCCGUGAGGAGAAAGAUUUAUCGCUGAAGGAUUAGCCCGCGUCUGAUUAGCUAGUUGGUGAGGUAAUGGCUCACCAAGGCGACGAUCAGUAGCUGGUCUGAGAGGAUGAUCAGCCACAUUGGGACUGAGACACGGCCCAAACUCCUACGGGAGGCAGCAGUGGGGAAUAUUGGACAAUGGGCGCAAGCCUGAUCCAGCCAUGCCGCGUGAGUGAUGAAGGCCUUCGGGUUGUAAAGCUCUUUUGUCCGGGAAGAUAAUGACUGUACCGGAAAAAUAAGCCCCGGCAAACUUCGUGCCAGCAGCCGCGGUAA